AAUCCAUAGGUUAAUGAGGCGAACCGGGGGAACUGAAACAUCUAAGUACCCCGAGGAAAAGAAAUCAACCGAGAUUCCCCCAGUAGCGGCGAGCGAACGGGGAGGAGCCCAGAGCCUGAAUCAGCAUGUGUGUUAGUGGAAGCGUCUGGAAAGGCGCGCGAUACAGGGUGACAGCCCCGUACACAAAAGCGCAUGUGCUGUGAGCUCGAUGAGUAGGGCGGGACACGUGGUAUCCUGUCUGAAUAUGGGGGGACCAUCCUCCAAGGCUAAAUACUCCUGACUGACCGAUAGUGAACCAGUACCGUGAGGGAAAGGCGAAAAGAACCCCGGCGAGGGGAGUGAAAAAGAACCUGAAACCGUGUACGUACAAGCAGUGGGAGCACCCUUCGGGGUGUGACUGCGUACCUUUUGUAUAAUGGGUCAGCGACUUAUAUUCUGUAGCAAGGUUAA
Molecule: ribosomal RNA, 450 nt
Filed under: Salmonella enterica
Lineage: Bacteria; Pseudomonadati; Pseudomonadota; Gammaproteobacteria; Enterobacterales; Enterobacteriaceae
Description: partial 23S ribosomal RNA
Rfam family: Bacterial large subunit ribosomal RNA
Source: RNAcentral